This is a long non-coding RNA of Pelodiscus sinensis (Chinese soft-shelled turtle), 166 nucleotides long. RefSeq lists it as uncharacterized. Lineage: Eukaryota; Metazoa; Chordata; Testudines; Trionychidae. The record is from RefSeq and is a predicted model, not a curated record.
AAUGAACAGCAUGUUCACAUUCAUGAAAACAGGAUCUCAGUCAGAUCACUCAGUGCAUAAGGCUAAGAACCCAUCCCUAUGAGACCCUACCAGAAGUACAUCUGCUUGUUGCCUUGAUUGUAAAGAUCUGCCAUGUGAACACCUGAUACAAAUAACUCAUAAAAAC